RNAcentral lists this ribosomal RNA (549 nucleotides) under Triticum aestivum (bread wheat). RNAcentral's name for it is "partial small subunit ribosomal RNA". Lineage: Eukaryota; Viridiplantae; Streptophyta; Magnoliopsida; Poales; Poaceae. The record is from RNAcentral.
AUGGGGCUCACGUUCACCAAGCUGUUCAGCCGCCUCUUCGCCAAGAAGGAGAUGAGGAUUCUCAUGGUUGGUCUCGAUGCCGCUGGUAAGACCACCAUCCUCUACAAGCUCAAGCUCGGCGAGAUCGUCACCACCAUCCCAACCAUCGGAUUUAACGUCGAAACUGUUGAGUACAAGAACAUCAGCUUCACUGUUUGGGAUGUGGGGGGCCAAGACAAGAUCAGGCCCCUGUGGAGGCACUACUUCCAGAACACGCAAGGGCUCAUUUUUGUUGUUGACAGCAAUGAUAGGGAGCGUGUUGUUGAGGCUAGAGACGAGCUCCACAGGAUGCUGAAUGAGGAUGAGCUGCGUGAUGCUGUGUUGCUUGUAUUUGCAAACAAACAAGAUCUUCCUAAUGCCAUGAAUGCUGCUGAAAUCACCGACAAGCUUGGUCUGCACUCCCUGCGCCAGCGGCACUGGUACAUUCAGAGCACUUGUGCGACGUCUGGCGAAGGGUUGUACGAGGGACUUGACUGGCUCUCCAACAACAUUGCCAACAAGCAGCUGUGA